GAUCCAUGCUGGUCGCAAAGCCACUAUGUUGGUUUUCCCAUGGCACGGCUCAUAUAUUAUUUCACUGCCGCUGUUGGAGUUUAAAUUUUCUCUUAACACAAUGCAGAAAAAGUGUAGAGCUGAUUCUAUACGACUACAUUAUCCCACAAAUGUUUAAAGUUAAAUUUGCAAAUAUGAAAAAUUGCAAAAAGUAAACAAUGAAAAUAUCUGUAAAAAGGGAUACAAAAAUGUUAAAGUAGCAUAUACCAAAAAAGGGACCAGCAUUUCAGCCGAAUAUUUAGUUUACAUAUUUAUUUGUUAACUUAUGUCACCAAUUUCAAGAGCAAUAUUCCGAAAAACUGAAGUUGGUCUUUAUCGUAUAAGCAAUUUAACUGAAAACUUAUUUCAAAUCAAUGAGUUUUGAAGUUCUAUUCUUACUGAGAUCGUUAUGAAGCUAGUUUAACUGCCAAUAAGUAAUACAUUUAGCCCCCUCCUUUUUGUUGAACUAUUUUCAAUUUAAGCAAUUUAUAAUUGCUCAAUAUUUUACCAAUAUGCAAAAACAACCAUGAAUGUAUAAAGAGCAUAGUUAUGUAAUAUACUAAUAUGUUCCCCCUCUCUCUCUCUGCAUCGGCUAUGAUAACCUCGCAUAUAAUUCAACUAAUCACUCCCACAUUGCUAAUCAGGCUGCAGCUGAUUCUUUCCUUCAUUUAUGGCAUUUUGUCUUUAGUGUGACAAGCCUUGCAUUUACAAUUACAUUCGAAGUAGUAUGUCCCACAUAAACAUAGACACUAAUUGACUUGGAAACGGAAACUAUAAAACGAUUGUCACAUACACCACUGAAUAUCCUAAAAAUCACACAUGACCUGCUGAUUUUUUUUUUUUUUUUUUCCAAAUAUGUACUAGACUGACCAAAUGUUCAGUUCAAGUUUGAACGAUAUGAACUUUAUGUAUUGAAUAGUGCAUUCAUUGACAAUGCAUAGAAACUAAUGCAGGCACAUAUUUUAGACUUUAUACAUUUUAUCAAGUAAACUAUUUUGAAACAUUUAUAUUUAUUGUCUGUUUCUCUGGUGCUUCUGUCGAAGUAAGACCAAUUCUUCGUUCAAAAUAAUUUUCGGGUUAAGGUCUUAAACUAAGAUGAAUCAAUUAAUUCAAUUACAUUUGAUGUAAUAGUUGUGAAAGCCAACUUGGUUACAGAAACCCUUUCAAUUUCCUGGAUCAGUUUUAAAAAAGAUACAACAAGAUACAUGAAUAUAUGAUGUCCAGGCCUAAUAUUUUUCUAAAACAGAGCUAUCAAACGUUUUCAAACAUACAAAUUAGCAGGAGUUAAAAUCAAUCAAUUAUACCCGAUAGAUUUCCCAGAGAUAAUAUCACCACAACUGAUACAGAUUGGCCCUAACAGGGAACCAGUAAAAUUUUCCCAGAGAUCCUAUAUACGGUUACAUAAAUCCAGAUGUUGCAAAUCUUGACUACCUGUCAAUAGUAUUUGUACAUAUAAAGUAGUUUUGCUUCUUACAAUCAUAUACAUGAUGCUAAAGGAAAUCUUUCAACUACGUACACUGUAGCAAAAGCUUCCAGAAUAGAAAUCCAUAGACUACAAUUUCGUAGGCGUAGCGCAAGUACACGCUGACCAGUGUGUUUAAAAUUACUGUUACAGUGCAAUAUAGGUAUGCUGUUUCCUUGCAGUUGCAUUUUUUAAAAUUGCAAGAUUUUAAAAUUUCUUAUAAGGGAAAACUUUCCUGUGAGAUUCACACCUGGUUCUAAACCGACAGUGAAACAAAUACACCAUACUUGCCGUAUGUGCACUACAUGUUUCUGUCAUACAGCUUUUGUACGACAAUAUCAGGUGUCACUUGACAACAAUGGACUUUUUACUUAGACCAAUAUUUUUAUGUGUAUAAUUUAAUUUCAAAUUUCAUUUUAACAAACUUUGUUUUCUGUCAUUGUUCUAAAGACUAGACAUACAAAUUGUGUUGGGACCAAAACAUAUUUAGCACUAGAUAUUAAUAUCCAAAUUUUCCCUGAAAAUAUAGAUUCUGCUGCUAGAUAUUGCGAACAUUUUCCCCACAGUAUCAUGAAUUUAGGUUCGAUUUUUUCACAAAGAUGGUUUUCCCCAUGUACAGAGUAAUAUGUAGUACAAAACAAAUAAACAUUUGUUUUCGGACAUUAAUUAGGCUGAGGAAAUGUGAAUGGUUGUUUUGUUCUAUUCUCAACUUCAUCACCUUGAACAAUGCUGAACCAGUCAUCUCAAUUAAAGUUAGUUCUUUGUAACUUUGUCCUGAGUUGUUACUUAGGUUACUGAAUGGUUUGUGAAAACCAAAGUAGUUUGUCUAUAAUAAACUGUCAUAAAUCAACAGACAGGCUCAUAAGCCCAAAAAGACAAAACAAGUUAGGUUUUAAAUACUUUUCCAUCAUUGGAAUGCUUUAAAGUAAAGUUCAUCAACCAUGGAGAAACUGUUUUUAUGCAAUUUAAUCCUUAUUCAACAAUUUUAUCAGUUAUAAAUAGUUAAAAUGUACACAUUUGAAACAUAAUCAGCAUGUGUGUUAGCUCUAGGUAGUAUCUGUCACGUUUGAUUUUUGUUGCUGUUUAAGUCACUUUAACAUUGUUGUCACAACAUAUGCAUUAUAUGACAAAAUAGACUUUCAGUCUAAACUUGGCUCUUAAGUAACAUUGAUAUAACAUACAUAAGUAUGAAGCACAAAAUGUCAACAUUUCGAACAUGCUGCCUGUAUGAUUUCCCAAAGUAACGUUGUUCUCUAAAGCAGACACAGACUACAUGCUCCGCCAGAGACAGAUACAUAUAUUGAAGUAUUAAGUGACUUCAAAUCGUUGUAGUGAGUUAAAUCAUUGACACAAUUUAUCUAAGCCCAAAAACGUAGUCAUACUCUGUAAAAUCACCGAUUUCAAAAGUGUAAGUUAUGUAUACAAUGUAGUGGAGUUUUGACAGCCUGCUGCCAUCAUUAUACACCAUUGUACCUACUGUACUGAUGUAGCAAAUUGUCUUAGUAUACAAUACUAAACUAGUGACAUAGUGUUUUGUUGUCAUAGCUCGUAGCUUUGUCUUCUGUUUUAUUGUAACACUGGAUAAGACUAAUUAUUAUGGCGUUGGUAUACCUACUGUUUUUUAUUAGAGAUUUGCAUUAUUAUAUAGUGUUAUCCCGGUUCAUUACCUACCAUACUGAAUUUUUGACUGCUUAUUCUGUCAUAUUCUCUUAAAAAUAACCUAUUGUACUAAUUUUGACAGUGCAUAACAGUAUUUGAUUUUCAUCCAGUGACUACAAACCUUACCUUGUCUCAGUUUACCUAAAUACAUGUACCUUUCUCUUGCUGUAUAUUGCCAUGUUUUGCUUCAGCAUCAAUGUAAUGGAAAGGCCAUCUUUCACCACUGUACCUUAGACUGUACUGGAUGUUGCCGCUGGAUUCAAUUUCCACAAAUUUAUUUUCCUCGGUACCUACAGUACUGGUUUAAGCAAAGUAAUUCAAUGUUUUGUUUCGCCACAGUACCAACUGUUACAAUACUGAAUAUUGUGAUUGUGUUUCCAAAAAUUCAGUUGCCUCAGUACCUACUGUACUGGUUUAAGCAAAUUAAUUCAAUUUUAUUAUUCGCCUCAGUACCUACUGUACUGGAUAUUGUGAUUGUGUUUCCACCAAUUCAUUUGCCUCAGUACCUACUGUACUGGUUUAAGCAAAUUAUUCAUUGUCAUGAUUCAACUCAGUACCUACUGUAUUGGACAUUGCAGUUGUGUUUUCCACAAUUUAUUUGCCUCAGUACCUACGUACUGGUUUAAGCAAAUUAUUCAUUGUCAUGUUUCGCCUCAGUACCUACUGUAUUGGAUAUUGCAGUUGUGUUUCCACCAAUUUAUUUGCCUCAGUACCUACUGUACUGGUUUAAGCAAAUUAUUCAUUGUCAUGAUUCGCCUCAGUACCUACUGUAUUGGACAUUGCAGUUGUGUUUCCACCAAUUUAUUUGCCUCAGUACCUACUGUACUGGUUUAAGAAAAUUAUUCAUUGUCAUGAUUCGCCUCAGUACCUACUGUAUUGGACAUUGCAGUUGUGUUUCCACCAAUUUAUUUGCCCAAGUACCUGCUGUACUGGCUUAAGCAAAUUAAUCCAUUGUCAUGAUCCUCCCCAUUAUCUACUGUACUGGAUAUUACAAUUGUAUUUCGAUAAGGUUAUCUGCCUCAAUACCUACUGUAAUGAUUUAAGCAAAUCUAUCUAUUGUCAUGAUUUGUCUCAGUAACUACUGUUUUGAAAUUGUAUUUCCACAAGUUUAUUUGCCUCAGUACCUUCUGUACUAGGUAUUACGAUCAUAUUUUCACAAAUUUAUUUGCCUCACUACAUACUGCAAAAAUUUUUGGCAAAUCAAUCCAUUGUCAUGAUUCGCCUUAAUUAGUACCUACUAUACUAGAUUUAGCGACCAACAGGAUUGAUACAGUUUAAAUCCGCACUAAAAAUAUUACAUCAGUUAUAAUCAAGUAAGAACUUUUCCUACAAAAAUGUGAAAAGCCUUUCGUAAAAUGUUAUUAAAUUAAUCCAAAGGAUACACCAGAAUGUUUCAAUUGAAUAAUCACAAAUGAAAGUACAUUAAAGAAUAAAUGCUACAAUUUGUAGAAAAAUCACAACUAAUCUCCGAAAGUAAAUAUACAUCCACACUGAUAAGAAAACUUUUUGGUUCUGCCUGGCUACCUGAUAAGAUCACGUGUUCAUCUCAUUUAACCCUGUGUGGUCCAGUGCAGUAGAAUACAUACCUUCUUCAGACACCCUGGAAAAACUUAAAAGAUCAUACCUUCAGUGGCAAUACUCUGACAGUCCAAUAAUUCAUAAUUGCAAUUAAGUGUCAGGAAAUACUGUCUCUACCAUCUCUCUCCAUUUUCACUGUAAAUACUCCAGUUAGCAAAUAUAGUGUCCUGUAUUGUAUAUAUUUCAUUCUCAUAUUAUUUUUCUGAUAACAUAUAGCUCUGUGUUUUAUUUUGUCAUAAUUUUAUUCAUGUUCAUUGUUUUUGUAUAUAGCCAUGUAUACGUGGACCAUAUUGUAAAUUGGCAUAGCCAAAUAUGUUAUCCACUAUAAAUAAAGUCGUUAUUAUUAUUAUUAUUUAAAAACUGCAUAUAUAAACUUUGAAUGAAGAUUUUACAUCUGAUAUCUAAAUCCGACCUUAAAUGUUAUUAGAAAAAACAUUUUCACAGCAGUUACUACUUAAUACUUUAAUUAAAAUUUACUGAAUAUUUGAAAAUUCUGUUUUAUGCAAUGCUUUCCUUUUGUAGGGAGGUUUUUAUAAUAGCAUAUGGCCAGCCAAAUGAGGUAUCGAGCUAAAAUGUAGUGCUGUAAAAUGUGAAGAAUUUGCGUGGUUAGAAUCAAAAUAAUAAAGAUGUUCCAAUAGUUUUAUCAGUUAAUUUAAUAUGGGCAGUCGUUUUGGAUGCGAAUAUUAAAUCACUUGUGAUAUGCUCUCAUGAUUUAAUUUUUACAUAUCCGCACUCCUGCCCAUAUUAUAUGCCCGUUUGAAAAACGGGACGUAUUAUGGGAACGCCCCUGGCAGGCGGGCGGGCGGCGUCCACAGACUUUGUCCUGAGCAUAUCUUCUACAUGCAUGGAGGGAUUUUGAUGAAACUUGGCACAGUUGUUCACCAUAAUGAGACGGAGUGUUGUGCGCAAGAACCAGGUCCCUGGAUCUAAGGUCAAGGUCACACUUGGAGGUCAAAAGUCAAAUUCAAGAAUGACUUUGUCCGGAACAUAUCUUCUUCAUGCAUGGAGGGAUUUUGAUGAAAGUUGGCACAAUUGUUCAUCAUCAUGAGACGGAGUGUCGUGCGCAAGAACCAGGUCCCUAGGUCUAAGGUCAAGGUCACAUUUAGAGGUCAAAGGAUACAAGAAUGAAAAAUUCAAGAAUGACUUUGUCCGGAGCAUAUCUUCUUCAUGCAUGGAAGGAUUUUGAUGUAUCUUGGCACAAUUGUUCACCAUCAUGAGACGGAGUGUCAGGCGCAAGAACCAGAUCCCGAUGUCUAAGGUCAAGGUCACACUUAGAGGUCAAAGGAUACAAGAAUCAAAACUUUGUCUGGAGCAUAUCUUCUUCAUGCAUGAAAGGACUUUGAUGUAACAUGGCACAAAUGUUCACAAGCAUGAGACGGAGUGUCCUGCGCAAGAAUCAGGUCCCUAGGUCUAAGGUCAAGGUCACACUUAGAGGCCAAAGUUCAAAUACAAGAAUGACUGUCCGGAGCAUUUCUUCUUCAUGCAUGGAGGGAUUUUGAUGUAACUUGGCACAAUUGUAUACCAUCAUGAGACGGAGUGUCAUCACUGGUCCCUUCUUUUGAAUUACUUCCCUUUGUUAUUACUAUAAAUAGCUUAUAUUCCAGCUGAAGUUCAUUUUUAUUACUCUCACAAGAUCAUAUUUAAUUUGUUCCACAAUUGUUGCACCAAUCUCUUUUAAAUCUUCUUUAGAGAAAGUUGGCGCCAUUUUGGACUGUAAUGGCUUUGACUCAACAGAAAAACUACACUUAGAGUCUAAAUCAGAUUCUAGAUAGUUCCCUCACUGUCACUCUCUUUACUGUCUGCGCCAACAAGGCAAGUUCUAUGUUUUUUACUUGUUGGUUUCUCGCCAGGUGACGAUUUAUUAUGGUUUAGUUUUUUACGCUGGCGCGGGGGGGGCCGCGCGACAUUUAGCUGAUUUUGAAAUCAAAUAAAUAUACCGUUCAAUGUGUCGAAUACUUUUCACACUAUCCGUUCCAUCAUUAUAUCAAGGCACUUCAUAAGUCUAAUUUAAAGCUUAGAUCCAUUGGAAAUCGGGUUUUGUAACCUACAACAUGUUUGUUUUUACACUGGUUUGAAAAACACCGCCAUUUUUCACAAACCGGAAGUCAGUAAGCAGUCUGAACCAGUCGGCCACAGUGGUCCCUGUCCCUGAAACUUGGUCAGAAUGUUUAUCUUGAUUUCUAGGCCAAGUUCGAAGCUGCGUCAUAUGGGGUCAAAAACUAGGUCACCCAGUCAAUUCAAAAGAAAAGGUUGUUAACAGUCUUGUCCAUUUGAUGUGCAUGAAACUUGGUCAGAAUGUUUGUCUGCAUGAAAUAUUGUAUGAAUUUUUAUCUGGGUCAUGUAUGGUAAAAAAUUAGGUCACCAGGUCAAAUCAAAGAAUAAGCUUGUUUACACCCUAGGGGGCACAUUUUUUAUUCUAUCUUCGUAAAAUUUGGUCAGAUGUUUGUUAUCAUGAUCGUGGACGGUUAUAAAUCUUGUUCAUUUGGGGUCAAAAUUAGGUCACUAGCUCAAAUCAUAGGAAACGCUUGUAUACACUUUAGAGGCCACAUUUUUUCUCCCAUCUUCCCACAACCUUGUCAGAAUGUUUUUCAUAAAAUUUAGACAAAUUUGAAUCUGGGUUAUGUGGGUUGAAAAAAUAGGUAACUAGGUCAAAUCAAGGAAAAUGCUUGUUAACACUCAAGAGACCACAUCGUUUGGUCCAACUUUUAUGGAAAAUUGCUCAAAAUAUUUGUCUCCAUGAAAUCACUAGGUAAAAUAUGUAAACACUGUUAUGGUAUGUUACACAGGUGAGCGACCUAGGGCCAUCACGGCCCUCUAGUCUUUAAUAUUUUUUGUGUUCGUUUAAAUGUAUGUCUAAAUUGGGAAUGCACAUUUCACAGUCUGCACUAGUUUGUUGUUUUUCAAUAAAUGAUGUCUAAAACA
Mercenaria mercenaria is the source of this 7639-nucleotide long non-coding RNA. RefSeq lists it as uncharacterized. NCBI's taxonomy places the organism in Eukaryota, Metazoa, Mollusca, Bivalvia, Venerida, Veneridae. The transcript has 2 exons. The record is from RefSeq and is a predicted model, not a curated record.